AGUUAGCUGCGUACUAUAGGUAGUAACCUGGUCGUAAGAAGAAUUGCCCUAAGUUCUGCUACUCCAAACUGUGGAACAGAGAGUUCCUCCUAGAAGCUCCAUUUAAGGAGGGUACCCAGACGAGCCUUUUCUUCAUUUCCCACUUGGCUGCACUGCUAUGGACUUCACCAUAUUGCCCCCUAUGCAGGCAAAGAAUAUGAAGCAUAGAGAGACUUCGUUGUUUGAGACAGGACUGGAACUGAGGUCCUCCUGAUUCCAAAUCCAGUAGUAACCUCUACGCUGCCUCAUUUCCCCUCUAAGUUCCCAGAAAUGUAUAAACAUUUGCAAUACCAUAUGAAUAACAACUGCGAAUGACUCAGCAAUUCUCAGUAAUACAAUGAUUCAAGACAA
Molecule: long non-coding RNA, 390 nt
Organism: Trichosurus vulpecula (common brushtail)
Lineage: Eukaryota; Metazoa; Chordata; Mammalia; Diprotodontia; Phalangeridae
Exons: 2
Source: RefSeq, a predicted model, not a curated record